Molecule: ribosomal RNA, 232 nt
Filed under: uncultured bacterium
Lineage: Bacteria
Description: partial 16S ribosomal RNA
Rfam family: Bacterial small subunit ribosomal RNA
Source: RNAcentral
CGGACGGGUGAGUAAUGCUUGGGAAUCUGGCUUAUGGAGGGGGAUAACUACGGGAAACCGUAGCUAAUACCGCGUAAUAUCGAAAGAUUAAAGUGUGGGACCUUCGGGCCACAUGCCAUAGGAUGAGCCCAAGUGGGAUUAGGUAGUUGGUGAGGUAAAGGCUCACCAAGCCGACGAUCUCUAGCUGGUCUGAGAGGAUGACCAGCCACACUGGGACUGAGACACGGCCCAG